UUUGGUUUUCCGGGUUCACCAAAAACCUAUGUUGGUUUUACGGGCUCACCAACGAACCUAUGUUGGUUUUUCGGGCUCACCAACGAACCUUUACAAUUGGUUUCCCGGGUUCACCAAUCAACCUAUUCCGUUGGUUUUGCGGGCUAACCAACCAACCUCUACAAGUAGUUUAACAAACAAAGGAAGAAGAUUUAAACUCCUAGAUGAGCAAAUAAAACAAUAUAAUCUACAAAGAAGAGUUUAGAGAAUAUUUAUCGCUUGAUGUGACUUCUCUCUUUUUUGUCAAGGAAGCUUCUCUAUUUAAGGGUGGAUGGAGCUCUUGAUGACUCUUUGAAUCUGCUCAACCACUUUUCUUUGAUUCUUGCAUGAAAUAACUUUACAAGAUCUAAGCGUUGGACCAGCUGAUUCGGAGUGUAAGGAAGAGGCCUCCCCAGUUAACGUUUAUCCAGGUCCCUCUGCACCUGAAGGUGGACUUCUCUUCAAUUGCUUGUGGCACAAGUGCUUCCAUUCGUAUGAAGCACUUGAAUGAAGAAGAUUAGGGCACUUUCUCUUUCUUGUGUACUCUUUGAUAUUCUUUGGAAAGAAUGUUCUAUCUGAUGAAUAGUGUCACUUUAAAUAGUUUCCUACAUCCAUUGGACAAGCCCCAAUGGUUAGAAUUCAAAAACUAGCCGUUACUCACUGUUGGAAGGACAAAAAGUACUUCUGCAGAACUAGCCGUUAUGCUU
RNAcentral lists this long non-coding RNA (725 nucleotides) under Phoenix dactylifera (date palm). Its description in RNAcentral is "long non-coding RNA (PDAC_LNC018877)". The record is from RNAcentral. Lineage: Eukaryota; Viridiplantae; Streptophyta; Magnoliopsida; Arecales; Arecaceae.